Molecule: ribosomal RNA, 124 nt
Filed under: Macrococcus lamae
Lineage: Bacteria; Bacillati; Bacillota; Bacilli; Caryophanales; Staphylococcaceae
Description: partial 16S ribosomal RNA
Rfam family: Bacterial small subunit ribosomal RNA
Source: RNAcentral
ACCCGAAGCCGGUGGAGUAACCUUUACAGGAGCUAGCCGUCGAAGGUGGGACAGAUGAUUGGGGUGAAGUCGUAACAAGGUAGCCGUAUCGGAAGGUGCGGCUGGAUCACCUCCUUUCUAAGGA